CGGUAAUACCAGCUCUCCGAGUGGUGUGGACGUUUAUUGGGCCUAAAGCAUCCGUAGCUGGCUGGACAAGUCCCCUGUUAAACCCACCGAUUUAAUCGUUGGCUUGCGGGGGAUACUGCUCGGCUAGGGGACGAGAGAGGCAGACGGUAUUCCCGGGGUAGGGGUGAAAUCCUAUAAUCCCGAGAAGACCACCAGUGGCGAAGGCUGUCGG
This 211-nucleotide ribosomal RNA is filed under the name uncultured crenarchaeote. RNAcentral's name for it is "partial 16S ribosomal RNA". It matches the Rfam family "Archaeal small subunit ribosomal RNA", at positions 468 to 679 of the family's 1478-position model. The record is from RNAcentral. Lineage: Archaea; Thermoproteati; Thermoproteota.